UGCCAGCCGCCGCGGUAACACGGGGGGCGCAAGCGUUAUUCGGAAUUAUUGGGCGUAAAGGGCGCGUAGGCGGUCUUGUCAGUCAGGUGUGAAAGCCCGGGGCUCAACCCCGGACGUGCAUUUGAAACAGCAAGACUUGAGUACGGGAGAGGAGAGAGGAAUUCCUGGUGUAGAGGUGAAAUUCGUAGAUAUCAGGAGGAACACCGAUGGCGAAGGCAUCUCUCUGGACCGAUACUGACGCUGAGGCGCGAAGGCGUGGGUAGCGAACGGGAUUAGAUA
This 279-nucleotide ribosomal RNA is filed under the name uncultured bacterium. Its description in RNAcentral is "partial 16S ribosomal RNA". It matches the Rfam family "Bacterial small subunit ribosomal RNA", at positions 506 to 784 of the family's 1533-position model. The record is from RNAcentral.